UAAGCGAUGGAGGGACGCAGGAAGGUAGCCGAGCCGCGGCGAUGGUAGACCGCGGGUAAGGAUGUAGGGCGAGGUGUAGGCAAAUCCGCACCUCAUAUGCCUGAGAUCUGAUACGGACGCAUUAGCGGAAGUCGGUAAUCCUAUGCUGCCAAGAAAAUCUUCUAGCGAGGUUCGAGCCGCCCGUACCCCAAACCGACUCAGGUGGUUAGGUGGAGAAUACCAAGGCGAUCGAGUGAAUCGUGGUUAAGGAACUCGGCAAAAUACCCCCGUAACUUCGGGAGAAGGGGGGCCCAGAGGGUGACGGAGACUAGCGCUCCUGAGCCUGAACGGCCGCAGAGACCAGGGAGAAGCGACUGUUUACUAAAAACGCAGGUCCGUGCCAAGUCGCAAGACGAUGUAUACGGACUGACGCCUGCCCGGUGCUGGAACGUUAAGGGGACCGGUUAGCCUCACGGCGAAGCUGAGAACUUAAGCGCCAGUAAACGGCGGUGGUAACUAUAACCAUCCUAAGGUAGCGAAAUUCCUUGUCGGGUAAGUUCCGACCUGCACGAAUGGCGUAACGACUUCUCCACUGUCUCAACCACGAACUCGGCGAAAUUGCACUACGAGUAAAGAUGCUCGUUACGCGCAGAAGGACGGAAAGACCCCGGGACCUUUACUACAGCUUGGUAUUGGUGUUCGGAACGGCUUGUGUAGGAUAGGUGGGAGGCUUCGAAGCUGAUACGCCAGUAUCGGUGGAGCCAACGUUGAAAUACCACUCUGGUCGUUCUGGAUGUCUAACCUAGGUCCGUAAUCCGGAUCAGGGACAGUGCCUGGUGGGUAGUUUAACUGGGGCGGUUGCCUCCUAAAAGGUAACGGAGGCGCCCAAAGGUUCCCUCAGCCUGGUUGGCAAUCAGGUUUUGAGUGUAAGUGCACAAGGGAGCUUGACUGUGAGACUGACAAGUCGAACAGGGACGAAAGUCGGGACUAGUGAUCCGGCGGUGGCUUGUGGAAGCGCCGUCGCUCAACGGAUAAAAGGUACCCCGGGGAUAACAGGCUGAUCUUGCCCAAGAGUCCAUAUCGACGGCAUGGUUUGGCACCUCGAUGUCGGCUCGUCGCAUCCUGGGGCUGGAGUAGGUCCCAAGGGUUGGGCUGUUCGCCCAUUAAAGCGGUACGCGAGCUGGGUUUAGAACGUCGUGAGACAGUUCGGUCCCUAUCCUCUGCGCGCGCAGGAAACUUGAGAAGAGCUGUCCCUAGUACGAGAGGACCGGGAUGGACGAACCUCUGGUGUGUCAGUUGUUCUGCCAAGAGCACCGCUGAUUAGCUACGUUCGGAAGUGAUAACCGCUGAAAGCAUCUAAGCGGGAAGCAUGCUUCAAGAUGAGGUUUCCAUC
Molecule: ribosomal RNA, 1372 nt
Filed under: metagenome
Description: bacterial LSU rRNA
Rfam family: Bacterial large subunit ribosomal RNA
Source: RNAcentral